UACGUAGGUGACAAGCGUUGUCCGGAUUUACUGGGCGUAAAGAGCGCGCAGGCGGUCGUUCAAGUCGAGUGUGAAAGCCCCCGGCUCAACUGGGGAGGGUCACUCGAUACUGAUCGACUCGAAGGCAGGAGAGGGUAGUGGAAUUCCCGGUGUAGUGGUGAAAUGCGUAGAUAUCGGGAGGAACACCAGUGGCGAAGGCGACUACCUGGCCUGUCCUUGACGCUGAGGCGCGAAAGCUAGGGGAGCAAACGGG
Molecule: ribosomal RNA, 253 nt
Filed under: uncultured bacterium
Lineage: Bacteria
Description: partial 16S ribosomal RNA
Rfam family: Bacterial small subunit ribosomal RNA
Source: RNAcentral